Molecule: ribosomal RNA, 492 nt
Filed under: uncultured bacterium
Lineage: Bacteria
Description: partial 16S ribosomal RNA
Rfam family: Bacterial small subunit ribosomal RNA
Source: RNAcentral
AGUGAACGCUGGCGGUAGGCCUAACACAUGCAAGUCGAACGGCAGCACAGUAAGAGCUUGCUCUUACGGGUGGCGAGUGGCGGACCGGUGAGGAAUACAUCGGAAUCUACUUUUUCGUGGGGGAUAACGUAGGGAAACUUACGCUAAUACCGCAUACGACCUACGGGUGAAAGCAGGGGAUCUUCGGACCUUGCGCGAUUGAAUGAGCCGAUGUCGGAUUAGCUAGUUGGCGGGGUAAAGGCCCACCAAGGCGACGAUCCGUAGCUGGUCUGAGAGGAUGAUCAGCCACACUGGAACUGAGACACGGUCCAGACUCCUACGGGAGGCAGCAGUGGGGAAUAUUGGACAAUGGGCGCAGGCCUGAUCCAGCCAUACCGCGUGGGUGAAGAAGGCCUUCGGGUUGUAAAGCCCUUUUGUUGGGAAAGAAAAGCAGCAGGUUAAUACCCCGCUGUUCUGACGGUACCCAAAGAAUAAGCACCGGCUAACUUCGUG